This 556-nucleotide long non-coding RNA is filed under the name Ananas comosus (pineapple). RNAcentral's name for it is "long non-coding RNA (ACOM_LNC021877)". Lineage: Eukaryota; Viridiplantae; Streptophyta; Magnoliopsida; Poales; Bromeliaceae. The record is from RNAcentral.
CUUGAACACUUUUUAAUUAGGAAUAAUUGCCUAUAUACCCUCCUACGUUUGAAAAUAUUCGAUUUAUUCCUACUUUUUUUUCCUUUCUAAAAUACUCCUUAUAUGUUCCACCGUUAUUGCAAACUACCCCCGCAAUUAUACAUGUAAAAUUAAUUUGGGUUAAACGUGAGUUAAAUAUUUACCAUAGUUAAAAAAAAUUAAAAUAUCAAUUUUACCCUUAACUUAAGGGCAAAUAAAAAAUAUUGUUGACGGUAGAGGGGUAUAUUUGAUAAGACUAAAAGUCAAAAUACUUUUUGUGCCCUUGACUUAAGGGUAAAUAAAAAAAGUCGGUGAUGGUGGAAGGGUAUAUUUGAAAGGGCAAAAUAGUAAUUUUAUACCGAUAACAGAGUUCAUUAAUAGAUUUUAACUCUAGAGGUAUAUUUGAAAUAGGUUGGAACGUAAAAAGGGUAUUUUCAAUAUUAGUCUUUUAAGAGAGGUAAAUCAGAAAGUCGGAAACUUUUUAGGUAUAUAUAAGCAAUUGUCCCUAAUUUUUAAUUAAGGCCAUUUUAUACACUUU